Phalaenopsis equestris is the source of this 1593-nucleotide long non-coding RNA. RefSeq lists it as uncharacterized. Lineage: Eukaryota; Viridiplantae; Streptophyta; Magnoliopsida; Asparagales; Orchidaceae. The record is from RefSeq and is a predicted model, not a curated record. The transcript has 3 exons.
CCCAAAACGAGCGAAAAGGGAGGACAAAAAAGAGCCGUUGGAAACCCAACCGGGCCAUGGCUUUUUCAAACAUCGAAACAUCAUACUUAAGCCGGUAAAAGUCAUUUUCAAGCUUAAAAAUGUCAGCGAAAGUCAUUUUCAUAUUUACUCGCCUCUGUCUCGCUCUCUCUCGUCGCUUUUAGCCUCCCCUGCUCGCCAUCCUCGCCGUCCCUAAUCCUUUUCAAAAAAAACAUCUGUGAUCCAUCUAUCCUAUCCAAUGGCUCCCACCCCCUUCCAAAAACCAUUCAUUCCAAGCCACCAAACCCCCACAGAAACCUCUCAAUCAAGAAACCGCCUCAACUUCACCAACCCAAAAACAAGCACAAACCCUCAUCCCUAAACCCUCUCUCCGCAGCUCCAACAGAACACCUCGUCGAAGUUAUCUGCCGGAUCCGCGACAUUUCUGACCGCAAGAACAAAUCCUCGUCGUCUUCCUCCUCUGCUCUACAAGUCUCCGGCGAUGGUUGCUCUCUCCUAGUCCGUUCCAACGUUGGCUACAGGAAUUUCAGCCUUGAAGGCAUCUCCUUCUCGGAGAAGGAAGAUCCGGAGGUUUUCUAUAAGAGGUUCGACGAGUCGAGGGUCGAGGAGGAGCGCUCCGGCCCCAAGUGCACUGUCGUGAUGUACGGCCCUACAGGGGCUGCGAAGAGCCACACCAUGUUUGGGUGCCAUUAAGGAGUCGGGGAUCGGGUAAAGGCCUCUCCAAGGAAGCAAGCUUCACCGCCAAAUUUAUUUGACUAGAGGUGUAUGCAGUCUCAUUUACUUCAAUAUUUCUAAUGAUUACACUUCCAGACGACAAAAAUCAACCAGGGAAACAUAUCUCUGAAAAGAGUGGUUGAGUCCAUUGCCAACAGAGAUUCCCAUGUUCCUUUUAGAGACAACAAGUUAACAAUGCUUUUGCAGGAUUCAUUUGAAGAUGACAAAUAAAAAAUUCUCAUGAUUCUGUGUGCAAGUCCUGUUCCCAAUGAAAUGCACAAAAUUAUCCACUCUAGCCUAUGGAGCAAAGGCAAAGUGCAUUGUCCGUAUUGCUCACAUGCCAACUCCCAGGGAUAAGCUAAGCGGUGAAGAUUCUUCAACAAUGCUAAAAUAAAAAAUUGUGGCAAUGAACCAAUUCAUUUACAAUCUACAGAUGUAGAACAAGAUGAAGGACAAGGAAUUUAGUAAAGUUCAAAGAGAACUUAUGUGUAAAGAGGAUGAAAUAAUAAGGCUUCAGUCUAAGCUUGAGCUCGUUGAAGGAAGGCAAGCAACGGAAGAAGAAGAUGAGAUCAUCUGCCUGGUUGAUGAGAGGACUCGGGACUUGAGAAUUGAACUGAAGAAGGCGGAGGAGAUAUUGCAUCAACAACAAGAGGAGCUCCACUUUUUAAGGAAACAAUUAGAGGGGAUGAAAUUUUGCUAGUGCAGCUAAUGAGGAUGCAUUGCAUUUGCAUAACAGAGAAGAUGGAGGGAAGUUUUUGAAACAACUAGCUGAAAUGUGCUUUGAAGAUCAAGUAAUGGAGAAGUCAAUGGAGCUGGAGAUGGGUGAUCAACAACCUAUUCAUGCUAUUAUGGAAAUAAGGG